GUGGGGAAUUUUGGACAAUGGGCGAAAGCCUGAUCCAGCCAUGCCGCGUGCAGGAUGAAGGCCUUCGGGUUGUAAACUGCUUUUGUACGGAACGAAAAGACUCUGGUUAAUACCUGGGGUCCAUGACGGUACCGUAAGAAUAAGCACCGGCUAACUACGUGCCAGCAGCCGCGGUAAUACGUAGGGUGCAAGCGUUAAUCGGAAUUACUGGGCGUAAAGCGUGCGCAGGCGGCUCUGCAAGACAGAUGUGAAAGCCCCGGGCUCAACCUGGGAACUGCAUUUGUGACUGCAAGGCUAGAGUGCGUCAGAGGGAGGUGGAAUUCCGCGUGUAGCAGUGAAAUGCGUAGAGAUGCGGAGGAACACCGAUGGCGAAGGCAGCCUCCUGGGAUGACACUGACGCUCAUGCACGAAAGCGUGGGGAGCAAACAGGAUUAGAAACCCCAGUAGUCC
Molecule: ribosomal RNA, 450 nt
Filed under: uncultured bacterium
Lineage: Bacteria
Description: partial 16S ribosomal RNA
Rfam family: Bacterial small subunit ribosomal RNA
Source: RNAcentral